GCUCAGGAUGAACGCUGGCGGCGUGCCUAAUACAUGCAAGUCGAGCGAACGGACGAGAGUGCUUGCACUCUUUGAUGUUAGCGGCGGACGGGUGAGUAACACGUGGGUAACCUACCUAUAAGACUGGGAUAACUUCGGGAAACCGGAGCUAAUACCGGAUAAUAUUUUUCUCUGCAUGGAGGAAUAGUGAAAGACGGUUUUGCUGUCACUUAUAGAUGGACCCGCGGUGUAUUAGCUAGUUGGUGAGGUAACGGCUCACCAAGGCAACGAUACAUAGCCGACCUGAGAGGGUGAUCGGCCACACUGGGACUGAGACACGGCCCAGACUCCUACGGGAGGCAGCAGUAGGGAAUCUUCCGCAAUGGACGAAAGUCUGACGGAGCAACGCCGCGUGAGUGAAGAAGGUUUUCGGAUCGUAAAACUUCUGUUGUAAAGGGAAAGAAACAAGUACGU
This 453-nucleotide ribosomal RNA is filed under the name Macrococcoides caseolyticum. RNAcentral's name for it is "bacterial SSU rRNA". It matches the Rfam family "Bacterial small subunit ribosomal RNA", at positions 22 to 461 of the family's 1533-position model. The record is from RNAcentral. Lineage: Bacteria; Bacillati; Bacillota; Bacilli; Caryophanales; Staphylococcaceae.